RNAcentral lists this ribosomal RNA (329 nucleotides) under Metschnikowia bicuspidata. Its description in RNAcentral is "partial large subunit ribosomal RNA". It matches the Rfam family "Eukaryotic large subunit ribosomal RNA", at positions 22 to 383 of the family's 3401-position model. The record is from RNAcentral. Lineage: Eukaryota; Fungi; Ascomycota; Pichiomycetes; Serinales; Metschnikowiaceae.
UACCCGCUGAACUUAAGCAUAUCAAUAAGCGGAGGAAAAGAAACCAACAGGGAUUGCCUCAGUAACGGCGAGUGAAGCGGCAAAAGCUCAUCUUUAAAAGCUUCGGCAUUGUAACGGUGGCGGAGGGGGUGGAUCGCAAAAGUCCAUUGGAACAUGGCGCCAUCGAGGGUGACAGCCCCGUCAAGAUACGCCCCCACCCCUCCACCAAUAGAGUCGAGUUGUUUGGGAAUGCAACUCUAACAAGGUGGUAAACUCCAUCUAAGGCUAAAUAUCGACGAGAGACCGAUAGCGAACAAGUACAGUGAUGAAAGAUGAAAAGCACUGAAAGG